RNAcentral lists this ribosomal RNA (1343 nucleotides) under uncultured bacterium. Its description in RNAcentral is "16S ribosomal RNA". It matches the Rfam family "Bacterial small subunit ribosomal RNA", at positions 28 to 1378 of the family's 1533-position model. The record is from RNAcentral.
GACGAACGCUGGCGGCGUGCUUAACACAUGCAAGUCGAACGGAAAGGCCCUGCUUUUGUGGGGUGCUCGAGUGGCGAACGGGUGAGUAACACGUGAGUAACCUGCCCUUGACUUUGGGAUAACUUCAGGAAACUGGGGCUAAUACCGGAUAGGAGCUCCUGCUGCGUGGUGGGGGUUGGAAAGUUUCGGCGGUUGGGGAUGGACUCGCGGCUUAUCAGCUUGUUGGUGGGGCAGUGGCGUACCAAGGCUUUGACGGGUAGCCGGCCUGAGAGGGUGACCGGCCACAUUGGGACUGAGAUACGGCCCAGACUCCUACGGGAGGCAGCAGUGGGGAAUAUUGCACAAUGGGCGGAAGCCUGAUGCAGCAACGCCGCGUGCGGGAUGACGGCCUUCGGGUUGUAAACCGCUUUCGCCUGUGACGAAGCGUGAGUGACGGUAAUGGGUAAAGAAGCACCGGCUAACUACGUGCCAGCAGCCGCGGUGAUACGUAGGGUGCGAGCGUUGUCCGGAUUUAUUGGGCGUAAAGGGCUCGUAGGUGGUUGAUCGCGUCGGAAGUGUAAUCUUGGGGCUUAACCCUGAGCGUGCUUUCGAUACGGGUUGACUUGAGGAAGGUAGGGGAGAAUGGAAUUCCUGGUGGAGCGGUGGAAUGCGCAGAUAUCAGGAGGAACACCAGUGGCGAAGGCGGUUCUCUGGGCCUUUCCUGACGCUGAGGAGCGAAAGCGUGGGGAGCGAACAGGCUUAGAUACCCUGGUAGUCCACGCUGUAAACGGUGGGUACUAGGUGUGGGGUCCAUUCCACGGGUUCCGUGCCGUAGCUAACGCUUUAAGUACCCCGCCUGGGGAGUACGGCCGCAAGGCUAAAACUCAAAGGAAUUGACGGGGCCCCGCACAAGCGGCGGAGCAUGCGGAUUAAUUCGAUGCAACGCGUAGAACCUUACCUGGGUUUGACAUGGAUCGGGAGUGCUCAGAGAUGGGUGUGCCUCUUUUGGGGUCGGUUCACAGGUGGUGCAUGGCUGUCGUCAGCUCGUGUCGUGAGAUGUUGGGUUAAGUCCCGCAACGAGCGCAACCCUUGUUCACUGUUGCCAGCACGUUAUGGUGGGGACUCAGUGGAGACCGCCGGGGUCAACUCGGAGGAAGGUGGGGAUGACGUCAAGUCAUCAUGCCCCUUAUGUCCAGGGCUUCACGCAUGCUACAAUGGCUGGUACAGAGAGUGGCGAGCCUGUGAGGGUGAGCGAAUCUCGGAAAGCCGGUCUCAGUUCGGAUUGGGGUCUGCAACUCGACCUCAUGAAGUCGGAGUCGCUAGUAAUCGCAGAUCAGCAACGCUGCGGUGAAUACGUUCCCGGG